GACGAACGCUGGCGGCGUGCUUAACACAUGCAAGUCGAACGGAAAGGCCCCUUUGGGGGUCCUCGAGUGGCGAACGGGUGAGUAACACGUGAGUAACCUGCCCUUGACUUCGGGAUAACUUCAGGAAACUGGGGCUAAUACCGGAUAGGAAUCCUUGCUGCAUGGUGGGGGUUGGAAAGCUUCGGCGGUUUUGGAUGGACUCGCGGCUUAUCAGCUUGUUGGUGGGGUAGUGGCUUACCAAGGCUUUGACGGGUAGCCGGCCUGAGAGGGCGACCGGCCACAUUGGGACUGAGAUACGGCCCAGACUCCUACGGGAGGCAGCAGUGGGGAAUAUUGCACAAUGGGCGGAAGCCUGAUGCAGCAACUCCGCGUGCGGGAUAACGGCCUUCGGGUUGUAAACCGCUUUCAGCAGGGGCGAAGCUUUUGUGACGGUACCUGCAGAAGAAGCACCGGCUAACUACGUG
RNAcentral lists this ribosomal RNA (464 nucleotides) under uncultured bacterium. Its description in RNAcentral is "partial 16S ribosomal RNA". It matches the Rfam family "Bacterial small subunit ribosomal RNA", at positions 28 to 507 of the family's 1533-position model. The record is from RNAcentral.